RNAcentral lists this ribosomal RNA (251 nucleotides) under uncultured prokaryote. RNAcentral describes it as "partial 16S rRNA". It matches the Rfam family "Bacterial small subunit ribosomal RNA", at positions 525 to 775 of the family's 1533-position model. The record is from RNAcentral.
ACGUAGGGUGCGAGCGUUAAUCGGAAUUACUGGGCGUAAAGCGUGCGCAGGCGGUUAUAUAAGUCAGAUGUGAAAUCCCCGGGCUCAACCUGGGAACUGCAUUUGAGACUGUAUGACUAGAGUGUGGCAGAGGGGGGUGGAAUUCCACGUGUAGCAGUGAAAUGCGUAGAGAUGUGGAGGAACACCGAUGGCGAAGGCAGCCCCCUGGGCCAAUACUGACGCUCAUGCACGAAAGCGUGGGGAGCAAACAG